RNAcentral lists this transfer RNA (75 nucleotides) under Cytophagaceae bacterium AH-315-L13. Its description in RNAcentral is "tRNA-Pro". It matches the Rfam family "tRNA". Rfam says of the family: Transfer RNA (tRNA) molecules are approximately 80 nucleotides in length. Their secondary structure includes four short double-helical elements and three loops (D, anti-codon, and T loops). The record is from RNAcentral. Lineage: Bacteria; Pseudomonadati; Bacteroidota; Cytophagia; Cytophagales; Cytophagaceae.
CGGGGUAUAGCGCAGUCCGGUUAGCGCAUUCGCUUUGGGAGCGAAGGGCCGCAGGUUCGAAUCCUGCUACCCCGA